This 456-nucleotide ribosomal RNA is filed under the name Triticum aestivum (bread wheat). RNAcentral's name for it is "partial small subunit ribosomal RNA". Lineage: Eukaryota; Viridiplantae; Streptophyta; Magnoliopsida; Poales; Poaceae. The record is from RNAcentral.
AUGUCUGGGUUACACAACCGCUUAUCCCAGCUGGGAGUUAAUCUCUCGGAUGACGCGGUCAUUGACAGAAUCCUCCAGUCGCUUCCACCAAGCUACAAGAGCUUUGUGAUGAACUACAAUAUGCAGGGGAUGGAAAAGACCAUUCCUGAGGUAUAUUCAAUGCUGAAAUCAGCGGAAGGGGAGAUCAGAAAAGAACAUCAAGUGUUGAUGGUGAAUAAAACCACUAAGUUCAAGAAGGGCAAGGGUAAGAAGAACUUCAAGAAGAACGGCAAGGGAGUUGCCGCGCCCGGUAAGCCAGUUACUGGGAAGAAGUCAAAGAAUGGACCCAAGCCUGAAACUGAGUGCUUUUAUUGCAAGGGAAGUGCUCACUGGAAGCGGAACUGCCCCAAAUACUUAGCGGACAAGGAGGCCGGCAACACCAAAGGUAUAUGUGAUAUACAUGUAAUUGAUGUGUAG